GGCUCAGUGGUAGAGUGCUUGCCUUGCAUGCAUGAGGCCUUGGGUUCAAUUCCCCA
RNAcentral lists this transfer RNA (56 nucleotides) under Dipodomys ordii (Ord's kangaroo rat). It matches the Rfam family "tRNA", at positions 9 to 63 of the family's 71-position model. From Rfam's summary of the family: Transfer RNA (tRNA) molecules are approximately 80 nucleotides in length. Their secondary structure includes four short double-helical elements and three loops (D, anti-codon, and T loops). Lineage: Eukaryota; Metazoa; Chordata; Mammalia; Rodentia; Heteromyidae. The record is from Rfam by way of RNAcentral.